GAUGAACGCUGGCGGCGUGCCUAAUACAUGCAAGUCGAGCGAACAGACGAGGAGCUUGCUCCUCUGACUUUAGCGGCGGACGGGUGAGUAACACGUGGAUAACCUACCUAUAAGACUGGGAUAACUUCGGGAAACCGGAGCUAAUACCGGAUAAUAUAUUGAACCGCAUGGUUCAAUAGUGAAAGACGGUUUUGCUGUCACUUAUAGAUGGAUCCGCGCCGCAUUAGCUAGUUGGUAAGGUAACGGCUUACCAAGGCGACGAUGCGUAGCCGACCUGAGAGGGUGAUCGGCCACACUGGAACUGAGACACGGUCCAGACUCCUACGGGAGGCAGCAGUAGGGAAUCUUCCGCAAAGGGCGAAAGCCUGACGGAGCAACGCCGCGUGAGUGAUGAAGGUCUUCGGAUCGUAAAACUCUGUUAUUAGGGAAGAACAAAUGUGUAAGUAACUAUGCACGUCUUGACGGUACCUAAUCAGAAAGCCACGGCUAACUACGUG
This 497-nucleotide ribosomal RNA is filed under the name uncultured bacterium. Its description in RNAcentral is "partial 16S ribosomal RNA". It matches the Rfam family "Bacterial small subunit ribosomal RNA", at positions 28 to 507 of the family's 1533-position model. The record is from RNAcentral.